GACGAACGCUGGCGGCGUGCUUAACACAUGCAAGUCGAACGGUGAAGCGCCUUCCUCUUUGGUGGGUGUGGAUGAGCGGCGGACGGGUGAGUAACAAGUUAGUGACCUGCCCCCUUCUACGGGAUAACAGCGUGACAGUGUGGCCAAUACGGGAUAUUCUGGGUGUGUGGCAUGAUGGGUCUGGGCACGAUAUUGUUUCGGUGGGGGAUGGGCUCGCGGCCUAUCAGCUUGUUGGUGGGGUGAGGGCCUACCGAGGCGGUGACGGGUUGGCGGCCAGGGAGGGUGGACGGUCACACAGGGGCUGAGACGCGGCGCAGACUCCGACGGGAGGCAGCGGUGGGGAAUGUUGCACGGGGGGCGCAAGCCUGAUGCAGCGACGCCGCGUGAGGGAUGGAGGCCUUCGGGUUGUGAACCUCUUUCGCCAGUGAAGCAGGCCUGCCUCGUUUGUGGGUGGGUUGACGGUAGCUGGAUAAGAAGCGCCGGCUAACUACGUG
RNAcentral lists this ribosomal RNA (494 nucleotides) under uncultured bacterium. RNAcentral's name for it is "partial 16S ribosomal RNA". It matches the Rfam family "Bacterial small subunit ribosomal RNA", at positions 28 to 507 of the family's 1533-position model. The record is from RNAcentral.